UACAGAGUAGCCAAGCGUUGUCCGGAUUGACUGGGCGUAAAGCGCACGCAGGCGGGGGUGCGCGUGGGGUGUUAAAUCUGGCCGCUUAACGGCCAGGCGCCAUCCCAUACGGCACGCCUGGAGCCUUGCAGAGGUCGGUGGAAUUUCCGGUGUAGUGGUGAAAUGCGUAGAGAUCGGCAGGAACACCCAGGGGGAAACCAGCCGACUGGGCAAGUGCUGACGCUGAGGUGCGAGAGCGUGGGGAGCGAACCGG
Molecule: ribosomal RNA, 253 nt
Filed under: uncultured bacterium
Lineage: Bacteria
Description: partial 16S ribosomal RNA
Rfam family: Bacterial small subunit ribosomal RNA
Source: RNAcentral